UGGGGGAUUUUGGACAAUGGGCGAAAGCCUGAUCCAGCAAUGCCGCGUGUGUGAAGAAGGCCUUCGGGUUGUAAAGCACUUUUGUCCGGAAAGAAAUCCUUGGCUCUAAUACAGUCGGGGGAUGACGGUACCGGAAGAAUAAGCACCGGCUAACUACGUGCCAGCAGCCGCGGUAAUACGUAGGGUGCAAGCGUUAAUCGGAAUUACUGGGCGUAAAGCGUGCGCAGGCGGUUUGCUAAGACCGAUGUGAAAUCCCCGGGGCUCAACCUGGGAACUGCAUUGGUGACUGGCAGGCUAGAGUAUGGCAGAGGGGGGUAGAAUUCCACGUGUAGCAGUGAAAUGCGUAGAGAUGUGGAGGAAUACCGAUGGCGAAGGCAGCCCCCCUGGCCAAUACUGACGCUCAUGCACGAAAGCGUGGGGAGCAAACAGGAUUAGAUACCCUGGUAGUCCACGCCCUAAACGAUGUCAACUAGUUGUUGGGGAUUCAUUUCCUUAGU
Molecule: ribosomal RNA, 497 nt
Filed under: uncultured bacterium
Lineage: Bacteria
Description: partial 16S ribosomal RNA
Rfam family: Bacterial small subunit ribosomal RNA
Source: RNAcentral